UAGUCUGUAGCAGUAACAGAGUGGAGAAGCUAGUCUGUAGCAGUAACAGAGUGGAGAAGCUAGUCUGUAGAAGCUAGUCUGUAGCAGUAACAGAGUGGAGAAGCUAGUCUCUAGCAGUAACAGAGUGGAGAAGCUAGUCUCUAGCAGUAACAGAGUGGAGAAGCUAGUCUGUAGCAGUAACAAAGUGGAGAAGCUAGUCUGCAGCUGCUACAGUAACAAAGUGGAGAAGCUAGUCUGUAGCAGUAACAGAGUGGAGAAACUAGUCUGUAGCAGUAACAGAGUGGAGAAGCUAGUCUCUAGCAGUAACAGAGUGGAGAAGCUAGUCUGUAGCAGUAACAGAGUGGAGAAGCUAGUCUGUAGCAGUAACAGAGUGGAGAAGCUAGUCUGUAGCAGAAACAGAGUGGAGAAGCUAGUCUGUAGCAGUAACAGAGUGGAGAAGCUAGUCUGUAGCAGUAACAGAGUGGAGAAGCUAGUCUGUAGCAGUAACAAAGUGGAGAAGCUAGUCUGUAGCAGUAACAGAGUGGAGAAGCUAGUCUGUAGCAGUAACAGAGUGGAGAAGCUAGUCUCUAGCAGUAACAGAGUGGAGAAGCUAGUCUGUAGCAGUAAC
This is a long non-coding RNA of Oncorhynchus keta (chum salmon), 607 nucleotides long. RefSeq lists it as uncharacterized. The record is from RefSeq and is a predicted model, not a curated record. The transcript is spliced from 3 exons. NCBI's taxonomy places the organism in Eukaryota, Metazoa, Chordata, Actinopteri, Salmoniformes, Salmonidae.